RNAcentral lists this long non-coding RNA (2464 nucleotides) under Gallus gallus (chicken). RNAcentral describes it as "lncRNA (ENSGALG00010019303.1)". Lineage: Eukaryota; Metazoa; Chordata; Aves; Galliformes; Phasianidae. The record is from RNAcentral.
GGUCCUUGCCCAGUACCCUUCUUGCUCCAGGCAGUCUGUGGUUUAUGGACUUCCCAAAGCAGAGGCUGCCUCCAGACCAGUGUGUUUUAAUAGCCACCCAUGGAUCUAUCCUCCUUGAAUUUUUUUUGAUCCUUUUCUCAAGCCAUUUAUAACUUCUGGCCUCCGCAACAUCCUGUGGCAACGAGUUCCACAAUUUAAUUAUGCUUUGCAUGGAAAAAGUACUUCCUUGUGUUGGUUUAAAUCUUCUUGCGUGAAUGUUUUGUUGGGUCCCCUCUACUUCUUACAAGAAGCCACAGACAACUAUUUCCUAUUUGCCUGUUUCUGUGUCAUUCAUAAUCAAACAGAUGUUGAGUGUAUUUCCUGCCUUUAUCAUCCCCUUCCAUCCUGGAAACUCACCUCUUUCAUUUCUCAGCUGUAUGGAAGCUGUUUUCCACCUCUCCUCAUCCUGGGUGCUUUUCAGCUCAACCACCCUUCUGGAGGCCAGAAAACCCACUAUUGUCACGACGCAGUUUCACUGAUGAUUGCUAGAGUGGUGGAGUUCUAUUUUGCUCCUGCUGCUUUUCCAGGCCCUGUUGUCCUUGACCACCUUGGUAACAUUUCUGCUAUUGCUCCUGCAUCAGCUCAUCUCUUUUGUUUCUCAGUGAUGAAAGAAGUGCACAACAUUGAAGCUGAACGCUCAUCUGUGCCUGGUGCACUAUCCCUGUCUGAUUUGCUCGCUACGACUGCAUUUCCCUUUUCAUGGCUACAGCAUAGUUGUGGCUCAAAGUCACCCUGUGAUUAGAGUACAUCGAAGUCUUCUUCCUCCCCGAGCAGCUUUAAGUGCAUGGCUCAUACUGAAUGUUUUCUUAGUAACAAUACCCAGCUCUGCGGUGAUCUGCAUGAGCUAUGGGUCUGGGCCCCUUCUCCAGAAGAGUCAGACUUUGCCAGCUGACACCAGCUGCAGAACCAGUUCUCAGUAUUCAGUGCACUUGGGGAGAAAGAAACAAGUAGUAAACCAAAGACAAACAGAGCUACAGUCAAACGUAUUAUAACACUACCAACCAAGACAGCUGCUUCUGCCAACAUGGAAACAAGAUAGGAACUAGAGUGUUUCUAUUUUUGCAUUCAAAUAGAAACAGAUGGAGAGGACUUGGGGAAUUUAUCAAACCAAAUAAAUAUUUUUCAUUUUAAAAUUUGAAUGGAAUGGAAAUUAUAAUCUGCCACUGUUACCAUGGAGCUGAAUAUUGUCCUUCCCCUCAUCCGGCCUUUAGCAGUAAGGAGUUGGUUGCGGCAGGGCUGGAGUUUUGCAGUUUUCUUCCUCACCCAACCCAGCUCUCUCCUUUGAAUUACACUGCCUGGUUACCGACUGCAGAAAGAAGAGUCAGGUUUUGCAAUAUUUUUUUUAUGGAUUGCUAGCUGAAAAAUGAGAACAAAAUGAACUUCUGGAUAGCAGGCACCACUGUUUUUCACUAUUCUUACCUAAGUUAAAGCAGUGAACCUCCACUUCCAAACUGAGAGGAGCCAAAGUGCCCAACUUCAGACCUUCCUGUGUGCCAGCUCCAAGCCAGUGGGAUGACUGGGAGGCUGGAGCCACACCAAAGCUGGGGAUUUUGAGCCAGAUUGCUGCCACCACCUUCUUAUCUCAGACCAAGAGCACCUGAGGCUGCCUAAAACCUGCUAGAAACAGCCCAGUGAGGUGGAGCACUUUCUUGCAAUGACUUACAGAAUGUCACAGCCAAAUCCAAAAAGUGUUUUAAAAGUGAGGAUGCAGUACAAAUGGAACAAACUUGGUCAUUAACUCUGGAUAUUCCACUGCCUCAAGAGUAGAACCUCUCUGCUUGGUCAAAUAGGUAAUAAAAUAGAUUAACAGAUAAUCUAAGAGGCUCUCCAUUGCCUUUUUUUUUUUUAAACUGUUUCCAGUAAACAGCCCCAUGCCUGUAAAUAUUUUAGAACAGGAAAAUAUUUAGUGACCCAGGUACUGAAAGGGCUGCCAUUAACCCUGCAAUAGACUUUUGCAUCCGCAAAUGCCCCUGAAAACAAAUGGAUUAGACUAAUUGCAUUCAUUCAGAUUAGCAAACAGCCCGAUAAGCCAGGACCGUGGUCCAUAAUGGCACAAUGCCCUUGGAGACUCCUUUCCUAGGACUGUAUCAGCAGUGCUACACACUGCAGGCAUCACACAAGUGUGCUGCUGCCAUUAAACUCCUGUUCUUUAAGAGCUUAAGAGGCCGAUUCAAACAUUUUUUCCUUCCUUGAACUGUAUUUAAAUCAAGUCACUUCUCUACAUUUUUCACCUGAAUAAAGAGCAUUUUUCUGUUAUGUUAAGGUUUGUAGGUGACGUCCUUUAAUGUUACUAUUAUUGUAAUUAUUUAAAAAAACACAACAAUAAAACAGUAAGUAUGACGCUUCCUUGUACUUCUUGGUUCGAGAUGGAAUCAGAAAUCCAAAAAGCAAAGCAUCUGCAAAAGCCCUGUGGUCGGGAGAUCCC